UUCUACUAGCUUGUAAGCCGGGAAUUGGAGGGCAAUCGAUGCGAAGGAGGAAUGGUUCCGCAGGUGGAGAAGAACUCGACUCGACUCGACUCGACCCGACUCGAUUCGACUCGACUCGAUCGCAGGUGGAAAACCGGAAAAUUCUCUCUUUUCGAUCGAGCAAUACUCGACGUUUCAUUAUCGAGUCUCGUCCGAUCGAAACGAAACUAUUUGAAAAAGAAAACAAAAGAAGAGAAAGAAAAAUGCCAUAUCGCGAUACCGAAUUCCGCAUACCUGAGCGCGAUGAAAUCCACGACUGAAAACCGGAUGCACAUGGAAGGUGAGGCGUGUUUGCGAGUAAACACUUCUUCAACUGGCAACACCAGACGACAAGCCAGAGCCACGGAAUGGCUCUCCGAGAUUAGAUAACAGUUGGAACGCGUUUUGUGCCGUCGACUUGCUCAACGAGCAACGUCCUCGAGACGCGCGGAGAAUCCACGGUUGCAGCGGAUGAAACGGUAUAAAAGAUGUUCGACGUUUAUGGCGCGAGCAAAUGCUCAACGACGGGCACAAUGGACAAUAAAGAGGACGAACGCCUCUUUUUUUUUCUUUUUUUGACACGACUGCGUUUGCUCGUAAUUGAAUUACGAAGAAUGGUUAAGUUCGAUUUUCGAACAGUUUCUUUUGACGUGAUUUUCCUCUUGUGUAUUUAAUAUUGCUAUCGUUUUGAUGAGUAUUAUUUAUUAUUCGUGAUUUAAAUUCGAGUUUUCCUUUCUUUCUAACUAGUUUGGCAAUUUAAAUGUAUCUUGCGUUAAAACGAAUUAAAAUGAUGCGAGCGAAUCAUCUCAUAGGAGAGAAUCUAUCGACAAUGUCCACAUUGUAUUUUGUAAAAAUUUUAAAAUAAAUUUCUGAAAAAUUUGUAUCAAAAGAAAUUGAAAGUGAUAUUUAAAAAGAAGCGGAUUUCUUGGAAAUGAUUUCACAAUCGAAAGAAAUAAAUUGGUAAUAAAGAAUAAUGGGCUCGUCGAAGAAACUCGUGUUGGUGGUGAAGCGAAUCGACCGAGAGGUAAAUAAGUGUCAAAUAUGAAACUCGAGUCGAUAAGAGGAAGGAGCGAAGGUAUAGUUUCCUCGCAGAAAUAACAAUGCAAACGGCAAGCCAGGUAUCGUUAUUGCAUAGCUAAGCACCAGUAGUUGUUUGCAGGCGUGGAACAGCCGUUUGCAAGUCGACAAAGAGGUAUUGUUCAGUCAAGAGAUUCAUCUAGCUCUCGGUCGGUACUCUUCUAUUUACACGGCCUAACUCAACAUUAUGUCGCCAACUUCACGCAACUCCUCGAGACGUCGAAUCCCCUCCUCCUCUUCUCGAAAAUUCACUUCCGCCGUUUUGACAUCGCGCGUCACCCUCGUAACCUACUACUUCUUCCACCAGUUCUUGAAACCAUUUAAAAAAAAAUUACAGAUCGUAAUUUUUGAAAUGAAGAAGAAAGUAGAAAAAAAAAGAAUUAAUUCCGAAUUAAUUCUUCAUCGCUUACCAUCCGUGGAUAAGUGCAUCGUAUUUAUCAUUUUAUUUCUUCUUGAACCAGAUUUUUAACUCCUUUCAGAAUUUUUCCAGAUUUUUUUCCGAAAAAUCAGACCCAGAGGAAAAGAGUUCAGUUUAUCUAUCACGUGGAUCAAAAUAAAACAAAACAAAAAAAAGAAAAAUACUGGUAAACACGAAAUUCUACCUCCACAUAUUACCGUUAUUAAUUACUCAGAGAUAAAUCAUUCAAUAAACGAUGAGGUUAGGUCGCGAGAGCACUCGGCUUACGCAGCGAGUGCACAACACUUUAGAGGAAAAUAACUGGGUAAACGAAUCACAGGCACGAUGAUUUACGAGCGGAGGAUGGCUGGUUAUCCGGCAUGGAACAUAUGUUUCCAUGGCAAUAUAACAAUUAAUCAUUAACCAGCGCGAGAUAGCAAAGUAGUGACGUAACUUUUUCAAGACUUCGCCUCGAAACAACUUAUACCACGUACGCUCCAAGAGAGACGUUUAAACUCGGAUCAAUAAACGCCAACAAGUAUCUUCGAGACAGUUUCGAGCUCCCAUUUCUGUAUGCUUAGAACGAGACAAGUAUUUCCGAACAACGCACGUAGUUUGGAUCGAUCGACACUUGAUCCCCGAGAAAUCAGGGAUGCUUUAGAGCGAGCUUUAGAGUGACGGAGGGAAUUUUAGUCACAAGUUAUGUCUUGUGGCCAAGAUGGGAAGAAGAGGACGAGCGGAUUCGUUAUUAAUAAUGCAACUGUGAGAAAGACUCUACUUGUAAUCUUACAAAAUGAUAGAUCUCGAUUCAGUUUUAUCGAAAUUACUUGUACUCUAUGAACAAAAUUGACAACAGAGGAAAGGGUGGCAGCGAUGAAGCGAGAAAGAUGCAGUAGAAAGGCGUUGCUCUCGACGAAAUAAGAAUUUUAAAUAACAACUUUACGAAAUAUCGUUUAACCCUUCGACGAAUUUUUCAAUCGAGCCUAGAAACUCGAGAUGAUUUUGCGCAUAUUUAUAGUUUUAAUAAUAAUUCGAGAUGGAAUUGGAAAUUUAAAUCGUUCGAGUUGUCGCGAAUUUUAAUCAUCCUCAAAUCGUUAAAAAAUUUCGUCUCGAAUCGUUAGUUGGAAAGGGUUAAUAUGUAACCCUAUAAAUUCAAAAUCCAUUGAAUAAAAAUGAGAUAUAAAAAAAUAGCCAAGGUUAAUACGUAUAAUAAAUAUAAUUGUAUAAUAAAUAAAAUUGGAAGAAUUGCAAUAAAUAUAAAUAGUUUCGUCGAAUAAAAUAUAUUAAUCCAACAUACCAAAUACAACAACCAAAAAUUCUCGUCUGGAGUCGUUGGAAACCGAACCAAAAAUGGUAACACUGUAAGCCUAUAUCCAAAAAGUCCACUUGAAUAAAAGUAAGAUAUAAAAAAAUAGCCAAGAUAGGAUAAUAUGUAUAAUAAUAAAUACAAUUGGAUAUAAUAAAUACCUAAUAAAUAAAAUUGGAAGAAUUGCAAUAAAUAUAAAUAAUUUCGCCGAAUAGAAUAUAUUAACUUAAUUAAAAAGAAAAAGAAUUAACACUAUAACCCUAUAUCCAAAAAGUCUGUGUAUCCACUUGAAUAAAAAUAAAAUAUAAAAAAAUAGCCAAGGUUAAUACCUAUAAUAAAUAUAAUUGUAUAAUUGUAAGCCUGUAUCCAAAAAGUUCAUGUAUCCACUUGAAUAAAAAUAAGAUAUUAAAAAAGCUAGCCAAGCUAGGAUAACACGUAUAAUAAAUACAAUUGGUUAUAAUAAAUAAAAUUGAAAGAAUUGCAAUAAAUAUAAAUAGUUUCACAAAAU
Long non-coding RNA from Apis cerana (Asiatic honeybee), 3306 nucleotides. RefSeq lists it as uncharacterized. The record is from RefSeq and is a predicted model, not a curated record. NCBI's taxonomy places the organism in Eukaryota, Metazoa, Arthropoda, Insecta, Hymenoptera, Apidae.